Molecule: ribosomal RNA, 486 nt
Filed under: uncultured bacterium
Lineage: Bacteria
Description: partial 16S ribosomal RNA
Rfam family: Bacterial small subunit ribosomal RNA
Source: RNAcentral
GACGAACGCUGGCGGCGUGCUUAACACAUGCAAGUCGAACGCUGAAGACCUGGCUUUUGUUGGGUUGGAUGAGUGGCGAACGGGUGAGUAACACGUGAGUAACCUGCCCUCUUCUUUGGGAUAACGCCCGGAAACGGGUGCUAAUACUGGAUAUUCACUGAUCUUCGCAUGGGGGUUGGUGGAAAGGUUUGUUCUGGUGGGGGAUGGGCUCGCGGCCUAUCAGCUUGUUGGUGGGGUGAUGGCCUACCAAGGCUUUGACGGGUAGCCGGCCUGGGAGGGUGACCGGUCACAUUGGGACUGAGAUACGGCCCAGACUGCUACGGGAGGCAGCAGUGGGGAAUAUUGCACAAUGGGCGAAAGCCUGAUGCAGCGACGCCGCGUGAGGGAUGGAGGCCUUCGGGUUGUAAACCUCUUUCGCUCAUGGUCAAGCCGCAACUGUGGGUUGUGGUGAGGGUAGUGGGUAAAGAAGCGCCGGCUAACUACGUG